Molecule: long non-coding RNA, 1014 nt
Filed under: Bos grunniens (domestic yak)
Lineage: Eukaryota; Metazoa; Chordata; Mammalia; Artiodactyla; Bovidae
Description: lncRNA (ENSBGRG00000007198.1)
Source: RNAcentral
GACGGAUGGAGAAACUGAGUCCCAGCGAGCAGCAGAGACUUGCCCAGAGUCCUGGAGAAAGCUGAUCGCUGAGUCAGACUGGGAGCUUGUGGCCCUCCCUGGGGCCGCCGGCUGUGGCAAAGGCACAGGGAGCACAGGAUGCACAGCUUGGGUGGAGGGUGCGGGUCAGGGGUGGGUGGGUGGGAAGGAUUCUGAGUUCGUCCCAAUCCCGGGGAGCAGACAAAGCCUGAGAUGCCUAGAUGCCAAGACAGAAGCUGGGACCAGCUGUUUAUUCAACAAAAGCCUUUUUAUUCAUUCAAAAAUCAACCAUUGGGUUUAUUCCGCAGAUAUUAAAAAAGAAGGGGGUGGGGGGCAAGGCUUCCCAUCACAGUGCCCUUAUGCUAAUUCACUUGCUACCCCUGGGGUGGACCUAGAAGAGGGGCGUGUGGGACACAUGCUGCCAAUGAGGUGGGGCUGGAAGCCCAGGCCUGGGUGAGAUCUUGGCCCCCCUCCUCAAAUGUCUUUACUGCUCAUCACCACCAGGGGGCGCUCCCUGCAUUCCCCUCAAUCAAUACUUAGCCGCUGAAAUCACUGGGAACCCUGUAGCUGUCACCUUGAACAGUGAAGCUGCCACUUCCCAGGAGACCCAGGACUCCCACCCACCACCACCCCCCAAACCCCGAGCGAAGAGACAAUGUCCUCGAAAACCCAGGUGCAUCCGUCAUCUAGGAAGUGUCUGUCAAAAUGAAAAAACAUUUCAGGGGAUGGAGAGGACACACGUUUGCCUUGACCUUACUCUAAACAUUGCUUGGUUGAAUACUGGAAACGCAUGGCGUUCUAAGUACCAUCAACGCGGAGCGGGGAGCGGACACUGUGAGGAAGGAGCCAGGGCUGCUGCAGACGCGCUGCCGAGGCUGAUUCCUGCUCCUGGGCCGGGAGCAGGGGUGGGAGGGGCGGGGAGGCGAAGAGCCUGGCUUCCAGCCGGUCUGGAAGCUCCAGAGAGCAGCAGCUGAUGGGGUUGGGCCUCGGGUGGAA